AUAGCUAGUUGUGUCACUUGAUGCAAUAUCGACUAUGUUGAAUAAAGUUCUAGGUAGUAUUAUGAUAAUGACAUUGUCUGCCUAUGUGUCUUGACCAAAUUACGUGCCAGCAGUCGCGGUAAUACGUAGAAGACUAGUGUUAUUCAUCUUUAAUAGGUUUAAAGGGUACCUAGACGGUAAAUCAAGCUUUUAACAGGACUAAUUUACUAGAGUUACUUGUGAGGGGGCAUUAAAGUACUGCUGGUGUAGAGAUGAAAUUUUUUGAUACCUUUUCCUAAGAAGGGGAAAUGACGGCACAGGUAUAGGCGUAAGCAUCCCCUUAUGUGAUAACUGACGUUGAAGGACGAAGGCUUUUUGUAGCGAACAGGAUUAGAUACCCUAAUAGUCAAAGCAGAUAAUGAUGAAUGUCAUAGAUUAGACAUAUAGUUUAUUCUAUAAAUGAAAGUGUAAGCAUUCCACCUCAAGAGUAAUUUGGCAACAUUGGAACUGAAAUCAUUAGACCGUUUCUGAAACCAGUAGUGAAGUAUGUUGUUUAAUUUGAUAAUCCGCAAAAAACCUUACCACAAUUUGAAUAUUUAUGUUUUUGUAAAAGAAAGGAUAUCUACAAGCGUUGCACGGCUGUCUUCAGUUAAUGUCGUGAGAUUUUGGUUAGUUCCAUAAAAUUAACGUAAACCCUUACUUUAUUUUUAGAUAAAGUAGU
This 700-nucleotide ribosomal RNA is filed under the name Lecidella sp. 2 GB-2019. RNAcentral describes it as "SSU rRNA". It matches the Rfam family "Bacterial small subunit ribosomal RNA", at positions 388 to 1130 of the family's 1533-position model. Lineage: Eukaryota; Fungi; Ascomycota; Lecanoromycetes; Lecanorales; Lecanoraceae. The record is from RNAcentral.